GCGUUGUCCGGAGUUACUGGGCGUAAAGGGCAUGCAGGCGGUCGGACGCGUUUUGUGUGACAGCGGAUGGCUUAACUAUCCGAGGAUGCGAAAGACGGUUUGACUUGAGGGCUCGAGAGGGACACGGAAUUCCGGGUGGAGUGGUGAAAUGCGUAGAGAUCCGGAGGAACACCGAAGGCGAAGGCAGUGUCCUGGCGAGUGACUGACGCUGAGGUGCGAAAGCCAG
Molecule: ribosomal RNA, 226 nt
Filed under: uncultured bacterium
Lineage: Bacteria
Description: partial 16S ribosomal RNA
Rfam family: Bacterial small subunit ribosomal RNA
Source: RNAcentral